Molecule: ribosomal RNA, 669 nt
Filed under: uncultured bacterium
Lineage: Bacteria
Description: bacterial SSU rRNA
Rfam family: Bacterial small subunit ribosomal RNA
Source: RNAcentral
GGGACAACCCGCCGAAAGGCGGGCUAAACCCGCGUACAUGCCACCGGGGCAUCCCGGAGGCAGGAAAGGCUUCGGCCGGACAGGGAUGGGCAUGCGGCGCAUUAGGCAGUAGGCGGGGUAACGGCCCACCUAACCGACGAUGCGUAGGGGUUCUGAGAGGAAGGUCCCCCACACUGGUACUGAGACACGGACCAGACUCCUACGGGAGGCAGCAGUGAGGAAUAUUGGUCAAUGGUCGGGAGACUGAACCAGCCAAGCCGCGUGAGGGAUGAAGGUACAGAGUAUCGUAAACCUCUUUUGUCAGGAAACAAAGGCGGGGACGUGUCCCCGGAUGAGUGUACCUGAAGAAAAAGCAUCGGCUAACUCCGUGCCAGCAGCCGCGGUAAUACGGAGGAUGCGAGCGUUAUCCGGAUUUAUUGGGUUUAAAGGGUGCGCAGGCGGUCUGUUAAGUCAGCGGUCAAAGCCCGGGGCUCAACCCCGGCCCGCCGUUGAAACUGGCAGUCUCGAGUUGGAGAGAAGUAUGCGGAAUGCGCGGUGUAGCGGUGAAAUGCAUAGAUAUCGCGCAGAACUCCGAUUGCGAAGGCAGCAUGCCGGCUCCACACUGACGCUGAGGCACGAAAGCGUGGGUAUCGAACAGGAUUAGAUACCCUGGUAGUCCACGCAGUAAAC